This is a long non-coding RNA of Gasterosteus aculeatus aculeatus (three-spined stickleback), 1632 nucleotides long. The record is from Ensembl. Lineage: Eukaryota; Metazoa; Chordata; Actinopteri; Perciformes; Gasterosteidae.
GGUUUGAAUAAGGAGGGAGGGGGAGAAUCCAAUCCGGUUUGAGCUAGUUCUUCUGCCAAUGGAACAUUACCGUCGCGCUACGCUGUAUUAGACUGUACUGGUACAGCUUUAUCCAGAAUAUACCACUGUAUCUUUCUCCUGUAUUGAGCAACAUUUAGCUCUUUUUUCUUAAAAAAAAAAAAAACUCACCCCACACAAACCAGCCAUGCCUAAAAGGAGCAAAGCAGGGGGAGAAACAGUGGCCAAGAGGAGAUCUCUCAGGUUGAGUGAAAAACCUGCACCUUCAAAGGCAGAGGCCAAACCUAAGCCCAAGAAGGCACCUGCUAAGCCUAAAAAAGCCAAGGAGGUGGAGAAGGCAAAGCCCGAGGAGAAAGCACCAGAGGCCCCCGCUGAGAAUGGUGAAGCCAAAGCCGAGGAAGAGGUAAUGCAUGUGGCAUCCUAUGUAAACAUGCAAAAUCCAACUAAUCUAUGCGGUUAUUAAACUCAAUAAAACAUUUAUUCUCCAGGCACCGGCCACAGAAGAAGCGGACGAAAAAGAUGAUGCGGCAGAAUAACAUCUCUCAAACCACGUCUUUGCCAGUGCUCCCUGUACCUCUUUUCUUGUACAAUUCAGGGGAAUAUUUUUAUCAACUAUUUUCUAAAUACAGGUUUUUUAGUAGUUUGAUUGUAGAGAACACUUUUUUUUAAUGAAAGAAAAAAAAGUCAAUUUGGAGACGGGAAUUUCGUCACAUCCCACAAUUUUGCAUCGCCACAAAAAAUCGCGGUUGUUGUUUCUGUCAGUGGAUUUCGUUUCAUUUUUAAAUGUGAAGAGGGCGGGGAGGGGUUGCAGGACAGGUUACUGUGUCGGCGCUUAAGCACAGCGUUCACAGCAGCUGGGGCAACAACCAGAGGAGCUUGUCCACGUGGAUUACAUUCCAUAUGCUUUAUAAGGGACAAUGUGUGUAAUCUGUGCGGGGUGGGAAUAGACAAAGUCACAGGGCAACUCAUUGUUUUAUUGUUCAUAAUGAAGAACUGUGUUUUAGAAUGUUUGUAAGCUUUGUUCCUAUAUGUUAUCUCUUGUACUCAUGCAGAUUUUCAAUGAAUCUGAUCAAUAAAGCUAAAAAUCCCUAGUACUCGAGCUCUCCUUAUCAAAACUGCAUCGCGUGUGUUGGUUGUGUCUCUGUUUCUGUGAUAGCAUCGCAAUAAAUUUGUAUAGCUGCUGUGAAAAAAAAGGUUUUCAAUCUUUCUAUAUGCAUUGUGUAAUGGUACAUAGUAAGGAUGGUAAAAAUGGAAUUUGUUUUCUUAGCCAGGAUAAUGAGGUGUGUAACCAUCAAAAACAAACUUGAGAUUGGCGUCUUUAAGGCCAACCGACAAACUGUACAUUUAUUUGAGAUGUCAAAUGCAUACCAGCAGUAGCAAUAUUAAUGUGGGUUUUAGAUAUCUGUAUCAAGUACACGUGUGCCGUUCAUUUUUAUUUGUUUAUAGAUGUACCUGUGUAAUGAUUGUUAUCAACAAACCAAUAAAACUCUGUUGGUAGUUGUUUCAUUCUGAGGCGUCGGUUUAUGAGCGAGGUUGCUGAAAGAUUGCUGUAACUGUUUCUAAAAGUUAAUGAAAGGGAGAAUACAAUAAAUAUUGAUAUUUAUAACAUAGAAA